UCGGGAAUUUUGGGCAAUGGGCGAAAGCCUGACCCAGCAACGCCGCGUGAAGGAUGAAGUAUUUCGGUAUGUAAACUUCGAAAGAAUAGGAAGAAUAAAUGACGGUACUAUUUAUAAGGUCCGGCUAACUACGUGCCAGCAGCCGCGGUAAUACGUAGGGACCAAGCGUUGUUCGGAUUUACUGGGCGUAAAGGGCGCGUAGGCGGCAAUUCAAGUCAUCUGUGAAAUCUCCGGGCUUAACUCGGAACGGUCAGAUGAUACUGCUUUGCUAGAGUGCAGAAGGGGCAAUCGGAAUUCUUGGUGUAGCGGUGAAAUGCGUAGAUAUCAAGAGGAACACCUGAGGUGAAGACGGGUUGCUGGGCUGACACUGACGCUGAGGCGCGAAAGCCAGGGGAGCAAACGGGAUUAGAUACCCAGGUAGUCCCUGAGCGGGCUGGCAAGGCGC
This 445-nucleotide ribosomal RNA is filed under the name uncultured bacterium. RNAcentral describes it as "bacterial SSU rRNA". It matches the Rfam family "Bacterial small subunit ribosomal RNA", at positions 355 to 823 of the family's 1533-position model. The record is from RNAcentral.